Pistacia vera is the source of this 186-nucleotide long non-coding RNA. RefSeq lists it as uncharacterized. The record is from RefSeq and is a predicted model, not a curated record. The transcript is spliced from 3 exons. Lineage: Eukaryota; Viridiplantae; Streptophyta; Magnoliopsida; Sapindales; Anacardiaceae.
CCAAUGGAGGAAUGAUAUCUUACUGCAAGCUGCUAUCAUGGUGCUGAUGAUCUCAGUUAAGAGAUUUUAUGAGCAUGGAGGUGAGAUGCAAGUCGCACAAGAUGCUCCUUUAAAGCCAUCUAUGGAUAUCUUUGCUGUAGGGUAUGCCAACGGAGGAAUGAUAUCUUACUGCAAGCUGCUAUUAUG